This 303-nucleotide long non-coding RNA is filed under the name Elaeis guineensis (African oil palm). Its description in RNAcentral is "long non-coding RNA (EGUI_LNC064655)". The record is from RNAcentral. Lineage: Eukaryota; Viridiplantae; Streptophyta; Magnoliopsida; Arecales; Arecaceae.
ACUUGCCUUUUGGUAUGGCACUCACCCUAGUCUUUAGGAGGUUCGGAGUCAAUUUUAAGGAGGAGGCAGUUUCCAGAUUAUCUCAUUCUAACACCAUCAACCACCACACACUGCAUUGCAUGAAUUUUUCAAAGACUGAUGGGGUUGGUCAAAGGGUGUUGAGGAGAGAGUAGAGGAAGAGAGAGUGUCUUCAUCUCCUUGUGAUCACAGAGCAUCUCCUGAUAUUCAGUUUGUGUCUGAUCACGAGGCUGGUCCCUCAGUAUCAGUGAGAAGGCAUGCUUCAGUUUCAUAGUCAGGGAGCAG